GACGAACGCUGGCGGCGUGCUUAACACAUGCAAGUCGAACGGAAAGGCCCUGCUUUUGUGGGGUGCUCGAGUGGCGAACGGGUGAGUAACACGUGAGUAACCUGCCCUUGACUUUGGGAUAACUUCAGGAAACUGGGGCUAAUACCGGAUAGGAGCUCCUGCUGCAUGGUGGGGGUUGGAAAGUUUCGGCGGUUGGGGAUGGACUCGCGGCUUAUCAGCUUGUUGGUGGGGUAGUGGCUUACCAAGGCUUUGACGGGUAGCCGGCCUGAGAGGGUGACCGGCCACAGGGGGACAGGGAAGCGGCCCAGGCCCCCGCGGGGGGGAGGGGGGGGGAAUAUUGCACAAGGGGGGGAAGCCUGAUGGAGCAACGCCGGGGGCGGGAGGACGGCCUUCGGGUUGUAAACCGCUUUCGCCUGUGACGAAGGGUGAGGGGGGGAAAUGGGAAAAAAAGCACCGGCUAAUUACGU
Molecule: ribosomal RNA, 467 nt
Filed under: uncultured bacterium
Lineage: Bacteria
Description: partial 16S ribosomal RNA
Rfam family: Bacterial small subunit ribosomal RNA
Source: RNAcentral